Long non-coding RNA from Entelurus aequoreus (snake pipefish), 405 nucleotides. RefSeq lists it as uncharacterized. The transcript is spliced from 4 exons. The record is from RefSeq and is a predicted model, not a curated record. NCBI's taxonomy places the organism in Eukaryota, Metazoa, Chordata, Actinopteri, Syngnathiformes, Syngnathidae.
ACAUUCUAGAACUUCUGUACCAUGUUCGAUUCCCACAUCCUCAACGAUGACCGACGUUUUGUUUGAUCAGCCGUUUUACUGCCCUGUCACAGACACCGUUUGGAAACAAUGAAGAACUUCUGUACCAUGGUCGAUUCCCACAUCCUCAACGAUGACCGACGUUUUGUUUGAUCAGCCGUUUUACUGCCCUGUCACAGACACCAAUUGGAAACAAUGAAGAUUCCAAAACUUUUGCACCAUGUUCGAUUCCCACUCUUCGUCGAUGACCGAUGUUUUGUUUGAUCAGCCGUUUUACUGCCCUGUCACAGACACCAUUUGUAAACAAUGAAGUGGGUGGGGCUUAUAUACCGGUGUGUUGAAUAGUCCGGAAAAUACGGUAAGUGGUAGGUGCGACUUAUACAUGGA